CCGCGGUAUUUGACCUGCAAAGGUAGCGUAUCACUUGUCUUUAAUGAAGACCCGUAGAAAGGCACCACGAGAGUUUAACUGUCUCUAUUUCAAUCAAUGAAUUGUCUAUUCGUGCAGAAGCGGUAUAAUAACAUAAGACGAGAAGACCCUAUGGAGCUUCAAACACUUAGACUAAUUAUGUACUUUUUUAUAAUCUACGGACAUAAAUAAAAAUAUAAUACUUCUAGUCUACCUGUUUUUGGUUGGGGUGACCAAGGGGGAAAGUAAAUCCCCCUUAUCGAUUGAGUACUCAGUACUUAAAAAGUGGGAGUAACAAUUCUAAUUAAUAAAAUAUUUAUCGAAAAAUGACCCAGGAUUUCCUGGUCAAUGAACCAAGUUUACCCUAGGGAUAACAGCGCAUUCUUUUCCAGAGUUCUUAAC
This 420-nucleotide ribosomal RNA is filed under the name Galeus melastomus (blackmouth catshark). Its description in RNAcentral is "partial 16S ribosomal RNA". It matches the Rfam family "Bacterial large subunit ribosomal RNA", at positions 1931 to 2506 of the family's 2925-position model. The record is from RNAcentral. Lineage: Eukaryota; Metazoa; Chordata; Chondrichthyes; Carcharhiniformes; Scyliorhinidae.